This 285-nucleotide long non-coding RNA is filed under the name Homo sapiens (human). Its description in RNAcentral is "HSALNT0133841". The record is from RNAcentral. Lineage: Eukaryota; Metazoa; Chordata; Mammalia; Primates; Hominidae.
AAUGCCUGGCAUUAGCAGUUGCUCAAGUAAUGCUAUUUUCAUAUUGUUGGCCAAUAGUGAAGUCUCCCAUGUUGCUUAAACAGUAAUAGGAAAUAGAAAAAUUCCUCUUGGCACCUGGGUUUGCAUGGCAUGGAUGUAUGGGCAUGUGUGUGCACACAUGUGCCUAGAAACACUUCUUCAACAUGGCAAGACUUCAUUAUUACGCAGCUUCAUUAGUCCUUCUCCAUUCUUGAGAUUCAAGCUGACCUGGUUCCAGCUUCUCAGAGCCCCUUCCUUCCACCCCCA